GACGAACGCUGGCGGCGUGCUUAACACAUGCAAGUCGAACGGAAAGGCCCUGCUUUUGUGGGGUGCUCGAGUGGCGAACGGGUGAGUAACACGUGAGUAACCUGCCCUUGACUUUGGGAUAACUUCAGGAAACUGGGGCUAAUACCGGAUAGGAUCUCCUGCUGCAUGGUGGGGGUUGGAAAUUUUCGGCGGUUGGGGAUGGACUCGCGGCUUAUCAGCUUGUUGGUGGGGUAGUGGCUUACCAAGGCUUUGACGGGUAGCCGGCCUGAGAGGGUGACCGGCCACAUUGGGACUGAGAUACGGCCCAGACUCCUACGGGAGGCAGCAGUGGGGAAUAUUGCACAAUGGGCGGAAGCCUGAUGCAGCAACGCCGCGUGCGGGAUGACGGCCUUCGGGUUGUAAACCGCUUUCGCCUGUGACGAAGCGUGAGUGACGGUAAUGGGUAAAGAAGCACCGGCUAACUACGUG
This 468-nucleotide ribosomal RNA is filed under the name uncultured bacterium. Its description in RNAcentral is "partial 16S ribosomal RNA". It matches the Rfam family "Bacterial small subunit ribosomal RNA", at positions 28 to 507 of the family's 1533-position model. The record is from RNAcentral.